GUGUUUAUACAGAUUGUGUGAAGAAACCCUUGGAAGCAGCCCUGUGGAGAAGGACUUGGGGGUCCUGGUGGAUGAGAAGCUGGACAUGAGCCAGCAGUGCGCUUGCAGCCCGGAAGGCCAAAUGUGUUCUGGGCAUUAAAAAAGGUGUAGCCAGCAGGGAGAGGGAGGUGAUUGUCCCCUUCUACUCGGCUCUUGGGAGGCCCCAUCUGGAGUACUGUGUCCAGGCCUGGGGCCCCCAGUACAGGAAGGAUGUGGAGCAAUUGGAGUGGGUACAGAGGAGGGCCACUAAGAUGAUCAGAGGGCUAGAGCACCUCUCAAGAAAGGCUGAGGGAACUGGGCGUGUUUAGCUUGGAGAAGAGAAGGCUCUGGGGGGACCUCGUUGUGGACUUCCAGUACUUGAAGGGAGCAUAUCAACAGGAGGGGGAACAGCUGUUUACGAGGGUGGAUAGCUAUAGGACAAGGGGAAUGGUUUUAAACAAAGACAGGGGAGGUUUAGGUUAGAUUUUAGGAGGAAGUUUUUCACCCAGGGGGUGGUGAUGCACUGGAACAGGUUGCCCAAGGAGGUUGUGGAUGCCCCAUCCCUGGAGGCAUUCAAUGCCAGGCUGGAUGUGGCUCUGGGCAGCCUGGUCUAGUGGUUGGCAACCCUGCCCAUAGCAAGGGGGGUUGAAACUAGAUGAUCAUUAUGGUCCUCUUCAACCAUUCUAUGAUUCUAUGAUUCUAUGAUAAUGAACCUCAAAUCUGCCUGGUAUUUACCAGUUGCACUGGUAAAUUUUCUGUAUGCAUCUGUAUGAAAGUUAGUUUAUUUUUAAAAGUACUGAUUUAAAGAAAUCAGGAUCUGAAUUAAUCCCUCUUGAGGUACCUCUAUCUGAGCUAUCACUUGAAGCUUUUUUCAGUACUCACUGAACUGGGAAUAUGCAGCACUGGGGUGCAGCAGCAUGAAUUUACAUUUUCAAGGUGCCUAUAACAUAUUCAGGAAGCCUAAAGUUAUUAAUUUCCUAUGUCAGUUAUAAGCUUGAGUGUUGGAUGGGACAAAUCAAGGACUAACGGGGCCAAAGUUACUGUAGGCAAAGUUUUAGCAAAAAAGAAAAUGGAGUGAAAUGCUGCAGAAUAAUAUGCUGGCUAUGACUCAUCAGAAUAACUAAAAAUGACUUGCAGUACAGGAAAGUAAGGGGACUGUUAAAAUAGAGGAAUAACUGUGAUUUUUCAAAGUAAAGAAAAUGAUUGAUAUUUAUUCAGUUCAGGAUAAUGUGAAAGACUGCAUCUGUAUGACUGUAGCAGGUCAGUUCAUAAUAGGAGCCUUUUAAUGGAACAGAUCCCUUCACAGAAUGUAUUUGUUCUAUAAAAGCUAAUGUGCUGAAACCUCUAAUACCAAGUAGCCAAACAAGCCAAAGACAUAAUGCCAAAGAUUUUUAUAUUCUAUAUUUCCCUCCUCAGUGAUUACCAGUUUUCUCUUACCUCUACCAUGUUCAUGUGAGUAGCAUUCUUUUAUUUCAUAAUUACUUGUUACUAAAAUUUCCUGAAGUUUCAGGCUGCUCUGAAAAUAAUGCCUCCCAUUUAUUUACAUGCAAACUACCACACAUACCAAAAAGACAAUAACACUAUUUUAUGCAUUUUCACCCGAGAUGAAGAUGAGCACGCAUGUCGCGCUUGUAAAAAUCUGUGCCAGCGGAGGUGACCCACUGUUGCUGUCACCAGUGUUGAAACUCACCACCCACCCACUGCCUCUCUGAGCUCAUAUCCACUAUUUGGUCUCCAUCAACGUUCAGCAAACAUCAAUGGAUGUCAAUGGGUGCCAUUUUUUCCACGGAGGAAUUCAGUGAGGUGCCUUUGUUCCAUACACACUUCCAUAUCAGACGCCAUUUUGUCAGACUGCCCCUCUGCCGCCAUCUGUCGCAAAACAACAACAUAGAAAAAAUGCAUUACUCUCAUCUUCCCAGCAUAUCACUUUGUGAAAACCCUCUUCAUUAUUCCUCUGUCUUCUCUUAUUAACCAAGACAAAUAUUUGGAUGUUCUGUUUCCUUCAGGAAAUUAUACAUAUCUCCUGUUGAAGGGAAAAACAAAUGCAAGUAAUAAGACUUCAAAUUAACAACGGACUGGGUUUUGAGGGCUUUGUUUAAAAAAGGGUUGGAAAAAAAAAGUUUGAGGCAUUGAAAUGUAGUUUAGGAAAGAAAAGCAGAAAGAGAAAAAAGAUGUGGUAAAUACGACAGAAAUUGAGAACAAGUGUUUUUGUGGACAUUUUGUGGGGUAAAAUAGAUUCAUGCAGUUCACACAGUAAUUCACAACCAUAGCUUUUGUUUAGGUUGGAACUUCUGACAAUCACCUGCCUUGUGAGUGUAUUUGAGACAAGAUUUUAUAUGGAUAAAAAAUUAUGGAUUUGUUAUAUAUAGCACAAGAGAUUCUAACCAAUCCUCAUUUUCAUAUUAUAACUAUUUCUCCCUAUAUGAAAAAGCUCGUAUUAUUAUCUUAA
Molecule: long non-coding RNA, 2467 nt
Organism: Gallus gallus (chicken)
Lineage: Eukaryota; Metazoa; Chordata; Aves; Galliformes; Phasianidae
Source: Ensembl